RNAcentral lists this transfer RNA (77 nucleotides) under Zoogloea ramigera. RNAcentral's name for it is "tRNA-Pro". It matches the Rfam family "tRNA". From Rfam's summary of the family: Transfer RNA (tRNA) molecules are approximately 80 nucleotides in length. Their secondary structure includes four short double-helical elements and three loops (D, anti-codon, and T loops). RNAcentral also lists the same sequence under 274 other names. Lineage: Bacteria; Pseudomonadati; Pseudomonadota; Betaproteobacteria; Rhodocyclales; Zoogloeaceae. The record is from RNAcentral.
CGGAGUGUAGCGCAGCCCGGUAGCGCACCUGGUUUGGGACCAGGGGGUCCAAGGUUCGAAUCCUUGUACUCCGACCA